This 351-nucleotide long non-coding RNA is filed under the name Gossypium barbadense (sea-island cotton). Its description in RNAcentral is "long non-coding RNA (GBAR_LNC017593)". Lineage: Eukaryota; Viridiplantae; Streptophyta; Magnoliopsida; Malvales; Malvaceae. The record is from RNAcentral.
UUUCAAUUUCAUCUUCUUCAUAAACCCUCUCCUUCAGUUUCCUCCAGCUUCCCUUUCUUCAAUCAAUGAAAAUGUCUUCUAUAACCAAAUCCAUAUCCAUGGCGGACUCAUGUUGCCUCGUUUGUAUCCCUUCACUCUUAACCACUUGUUCCAAAUCCCCAUCCCUACUCUCCUUUCCCCCAAAACCAAUCAAUCUUUUCCUCUCAUCUUCCCAUUCUUCAACCUCUUUGACCCUCAAAACCAGAACCCAUUUCUCUUCUCUAGUUUCCUUUGUUGCCCAAACAUCAGAUUGGGCUCAACAAGGGGAAGAAAAUGACACCACCAUCACCAUCGAUGAGGAUGAAAGUGAAA